AGGUCGUAGCAGGCUUUUUGCUGUUUGUCUUGCUAGUUGCUUCCUAAAGGAGAACGAUGUCUAAGGAUCAAGCGAUCG
RNAcentral lists this non-coding RNA (78 nucleotides) under Synechocystis sp. PCC 7509. Its description in RNAcentral is "CyVA-1 RNA". It matches the Rfam family "CyVA-1 RNA". From Rfam's summary of the family: Cyanobacteria, Acidobacteria (1 example), Verrucomicrobia (1 example). Big IGRs Lineage: Bacteria; Bacillati; Cyanobacteriota; Cyanophyceae; Synechococcales; Merismopediaceae. The record is from Rfam by way of RNAcentral.